GUCUAAUACCGGAUACGACCCUCGGAGGCAUCUCCUGGGGGUGGAAAGAAUUUCGGUCAAGGAUGGACUCGCGGCCUAUCAGGUAGUUGGUGAGGUAAAGGCUCACCAAGCCGACGACGGGUAGCCGGCCUGAGAGGGUGACCGGCCACACUGGGACUGAGACACGGCCCAGACUCCUACGGGAGGCAGCAGUGGGGAAUAUUGCACAAUGGGCGAAAGCCUGAUGCAGCAACGCCGCGUGAGGGACGAAGGCCUUCGGGUUGUAAACCUCUUUUAGUAGGGAAGAAGCGAAAGUGACGGUACCUGCAGAAAAAGCACCGGCUAACUACGUGCCAGCAGCCGCGGUAAUACGUAGGGUGCAAGCGUUGUCCGGAAUUAUUGGGCGUAAAGAGCUCGUAGGCGGUUUGUCGCGUCUGCUGUGAAAACUGGAGGCUCAACCUCCAGCCUGCAGUGGGUACGGGCAGACUAGAGUGCGGUAGGGGAGAUUGGAAUUCCUGGUGUAGCGGUGGAAUGCGCAGAUAUCAGGAGGAACACCGAUGGCGAAGGCAGAUCUCUGGGCCGCUACUGACGCUGAGGAGCGAAAGCAUGGGGAGCGAACAGGAUUAGAUACCCUGGUAGUCCAUGCCGUAAACGUUGGGAACUAGAUGUGGGGACCAUUCCACGGUCUCCGUGUCGCAGCUAACGCAUUAAGUUCCCCGCCUGGGGAGUACGGCCGCAAGGCUAAAACUCAAAGGAAUUGACGGGGGCCCGCACAAGCGGCGGAGCAUGCGGAUUAAUU
Molecule: ribosomal RNA, 778 nt
Filed under: Leifsonia antarctica
Lineage: Bacteria; Bacillati; Actinomycetota; Actinomycetes; Micrococcales; Microbacteriaceae
Description: bacterial SSU rRNA
Rfam family: Bacterial small subunit ribosomal RNA
Source: RNAcentral